AGCUCUCGCUCCCAUCAUCCAAUCAGCAGAAGGCUUGAGAAUGGCGGAGACUCCAGACAUGAAGAACCUGGACGAGCAACAAAACUAUGCUCUGGCGAACAACAGCGACCCGAAAAAUGUCCAAGAGCUGACAACUUAUGUGCAAACUUUGUUGCAGCAGAUGCAGGAUAGAUUUCAAACCAUGUCCGACCAAAUCAUCACAAGAAUUGAUGAAAUGGGAAACCGAAUUGACGACCUGGAGAAGAAUAUCGCUGAUCUAAUGACACAGGCUGGCGUUGAGGGUCCAGACAAGUAACACUUUUCUGCGGGCCUUGACAUCAUCAUCAUUUUUAGAUUGAUCACCGCCAGUCAAUUUCACUGCACAGUUGAAGUGUUUCGCAAUAACUUAUUUUCCUUCCACAUGUUGUGCACCCACGGCAUCUCUUUUAAUAUUUAAUUAAGUGAAUAACUGGACUAAUUACUUACCUGCAGGUUGCACCUCUUCAUCUGUCGAAAUUGUUUCCUCUGUUGACUCUUCGUCCUCGGUAUCCGUUGCUAUGGUCAGCCUUGUCACCUUCGAGUCUCCAGGCAAGCUCCUCCGAGACAAACUUUUGCUUUCCUAAAUUAAACUAUUAUCAUUUUCAUUUUUAGCUAAAAUAGUAUUAAACUUGCCAGUGUUUUUGAUGGCGGGCUUGAAACGUUGCCCAUAGAUUUUGACAAGCUCAUCUUAGAACUUUUUUCCAAGCUUGACUUGUUCGAGCCCAUCAGUAUAUUUGCUAUUGACCUGAAGCUUGACUUUUUCUCUUUUAUCACUGUUGGCUCCCUGAGGGCUUUACGGAAAUCCUUUAAUUAGGGCAUUUUUAAUAAUUAUAAAUUAUAAUGCUUUUAAAAUAUCUUCUAAAUUUUACUUCCAAGUCUUGCUCUUCGUCGAUAGCUUGCAAAUCCUUGUAGGCUUUUGUGAGCAAUUCCAUUUCCUGCGCAUGGAGAGCCAUUUCCGAUAUCACCAAAUUUUUUAGAGCUUUGGUUGUGACGCUCAGCUUGAGAGAUUCAAAAGAGUCCAUCUGUUCCUCAAGUGAUCUCAAAGUCCUUGAAACAUCAGCACUUGCUCGGGCCAGGUCUGUUUCUGCCAUGAGCUAAAAAUAUUCACUACUUGUGAGAAAGUUAAAUUUUUCAAAGCAAAUAUGUCUACAAUUUUCUGUCUGUUCCUUGGGUUUCUUUGUCGAAUCUUCUCCACAUUUCUCUUCCUGGUCAGCUCUUUUUCUUUCGCAGCAAGGGACAACUUGACGCUUUCUCUCACUUCCCUACACUGAGCUCCGAUUGACGAGAAAGGCUCCAAUAUUUGAGAUUCAAAUCUUUUUAAGAAUAUCUCCCUUAAACAAGAUUUAUAAUUUAAAAAAUUUAGUUAAAUCUGUUAUCGAUUUUGAGCAUCUCACCUAUUAUCUGCUAUCACAGAAAAAGAAUUUGCAAACUCUUGCAAUCCAGCAUUGGUACUUUUAUUCACCUCUUCAGCUUCAGUAUUUCUAGUUAAUGUCAUCACCACUUCAUCUGUUUGAUCUCGAAUUCUGAUAAUUGUAGCAGCCAAAAUCCAAAUAGUUAAAUUUGAUAUUAUUUUUAACAAAACCUACUUUGAAUAGUUUUUAGCAUAGCCACCCAAAGUUUGACAAAGGUCUCCCAUCUGCCUCUCAGUGUCUGCCAGACGCUCUUGAAUAA
Molecule: RNA transcript, 1689 nt
Organism: Neocloeon triangulifer
Lineage: Eukaryota; Metazoa; Arthropoda; Insecta; Ephemeroptera; Baetidae
Gene name: heat shock factor-binding protein 1
Exons: 4
Source: RefSeq, a predicted model, not a curated record